Molecule: ribosomal RNA, 1431 nt
Filed under: uncultured organism
Description: 16S ribosomal RNA
Rfam family: Bacterial small subunit ribosomal RNA
Source: RNAcentral
GCGACAGGCUUAACACAUGCAAGUCGAGGGGCAGCACAGGUAGCAAUACCGGGUGGCGACCGGCGCACGGGUGAGUAACGCGUAUGCAACUUACCUAUCAGAGGGGGAUAACCCGGCGAAAGUCGGACUAAUACCGCAUGAAGCAGGGGCCCCGCAUGGGGAUAUUUGCUAAAGAUUCAUCGCUGAUAGAUAGGCAUGCGUUCCAUUAGGCAGUUGGCGGGGUAACGGCCCACCAAACCGACGAUGGAUAGGGGUUCUGAGAGGAAGGUCCCCCACAUUGGUACUGAGACACGGACCAAACUCCUACGGGAGGCAGCAGUGAGGAAUAUUGGUCAAUGGCCGAGAGGCUGAACCAGCCAAGUCGCGUGAGGGAUGAAGGUUCUAUGGAUCGUAAACCUCUUUUAUAAGGGAAUAAAGUGCGGGACGUGUCCCGUUUUGUAUGUACCUUAUGAAUAAGGAUCGGCUAACUCCGUGCCAGCAGCCGCGGUAAUACGGAGGAUCCGAGCGUUAUCCGGAUUUAUUGGGUUUAAAGGGUGCGUAGGCGGCCUUUUAAGUCAGCGGUGAAAGUCUGUGGCUCAACCAUAGAAUUGCCGUUGAAACUGGGGGGCUUGAGUAUGUUUGAGGCAGGCGGAAUGCGUGGUGUAGCGGUGAAAUGCAUAGAUAUCACGCAGAACCCCGAUUGCGAAGGCAGCCUGCCAAGCCAUGACUGACGCUGAUGCACGAAAGCGUGGGGAUCAAACAGGAUUAGAUACCCUGGUAGUCCACGCAGUAAACGAUGAUCACUAGCUGUUUGCGAUACACAGUAAGCGGCACAGCGAAAGCGUUAAGUGAUCCACCUGGGGAGUACGCCGGCAACGGUGAAACUCAAAGGAAUUGACGGGGGCCCGCACAAGCGGAGGAACAUGUGGUUUAAUUCGAUGAUACGCGAGGAACCUUACCCGGGUUUGAACGCAUUCGGACCGAGGUGGAAACACCUUUUCUAGCAAUAGCCGUUUGCGAGGUGCUGCAUGGUUGUCGUCAGCUCGUGCCGUGAGGUGUCGGCUUAAGUGCCAUAACGAGCGCAACCCUUGCCACUAGUUACUAACAGGUGAUGCUGAGGACUCUGGUGGGACUGCCAGCGUAAGCUGCGAGGAAGGCGGGGAUGGCGUCAAAUCAGCGCGGCCCUUACAUCCGGGGCGACACACGUGUUACAAUGGCGUGGACAAAGGGAGGCCACCUGGCGACAGGGAGCGAAUCCCCAAACCACGUCUCAGUUCGGAUCGGAGUCUGCAACCCGACUCCGUGAAGCUGGAUUCGCUAGUAAUCGCGCAUCAGCCAUGGCGCGGUGAAUACGUUCCCGGGCCUUGUACACACCGCCCGUCAAGCCAUGGGAGCCGGGGGUACCUGAAGUCCGUAACCGCGAGGAUCGGCCUAGGGUAAAACUGGUGACUG